Molecule: ribosomal RNA, 477 nt
Filed under: uncultured bacterium
Lineage: Bacteria
Description: bacterial SSU rRNA
Rfam family: Bacterial small subunit ribosomal RNA
Source: RNAcentral
CUACGUGCCAGCAGCCGCGGUAAUACGGAAGGUCCUGGUGUUAUCCGGAUUUAUUGGGUUUAAAGGGAGCGUAGGCCGUAGAUUAAGUGUGUUGUGAAAUGUAGUCGCCCAACGUCUGCCUUGCAGCGCAAACUGGUUUACUUGAGUACGCACAACGCAGGCGGAAUUCGUCGUGUAGCGGUGAAAUGCUUAGAUAUGACGAAGAACUCCUAUUGCGAAGGCAGCUUGCGGGAGCGUUACUGACGCUGAAGCUCGAAAGUGCGGGUAUCGAACAGGAUUAGAUACCCUGGUAGUCCGCACGGUAAACGAUGGAUGCCCGCUGUUGGUACCUGGUAUCAGCGGCUAAGCGAAAGCAUUAAGCAUCCCACCUGGGGAGUACGCCGGCAACGGUGAAACUCAAAGGAAUUGACGGGGGCCCGCACAAGCGGAGGAACAUGUGGUUUAAUUCGAUGAUACGCGAGGAACCUUACCCGGGCU